CUGCCAUACCCGGGAACCGAGCACUCAAACCAGGAAUCAGCUGGCUACACCACCUUCCUCUCCAGCCUUUCACCUUCUAGCAGCGCGUACCCCAGCCUGCUCUCUGCCAGCACCUCCACCUUUACGGAGCAACAGCAGAGACCUGAGAGAGGUUACUGGAAAAGGACGGUAUCCUCUUGUACUGCCUCGUCUAUUUACAUAACAGCUAUCUUGGAGCCGGAAAGCAAAGUCUUUUGUGCCUGCAGUUUCAAGGGAAACUCAUAGCGGAGGGCGGGGAAUAGAGGAGUGGACAUCAAAACAAAUGGGCAAGCACAUUGCAUUUCUGUUCCUUGUGCUGAAUAAUGAUGCACAGUGCGCUGAAAACCUGCCCUGUGCGGCCAAGUCCUACCUGAUCCUCUGGCCCUGCUGGAUGCAGGGGGUGAGAAUUGCUUCCCAGCCUCCUGGUUCGCAUGCUGACAAGGUCUAGGCACGAAGUUGAGACUGGUCCAGCCAUUCCCCAGCCCCGGUCUGGUCCUAUUCCAAGUUGCAGAAGGGCUGGAACUCCAGAAACCUGAGAUAAGAGCCCUACCCUUUCCUUGGUGCUGCGAGCACGAUAUGGAGGAUGGAGAGGAACUCAAGAUGCUGUCAAGAUUUUCCUUUGUACAUAUCUGAUCGGUUCGUGCCAGGUUUGGCUCCACGCCUUUUCAGACGAGAGCCUCUGUGAUGAGGACAAGGUGGUUAGGCACUUGGUGCAGCAAUGGAGACAGAAGGAGAAGCUGGGGUGGGGAUGGCUUCUACUCCACUAUGGCAUGGGAUCUGAGAGAAAUAUCUUGGGAAGAUAUUCUCAGAAGUGUAUCUUUUCUCUGGAGAGGUAGGUAUUCCCUGGAUGUGCUGUAGCAGAUCUUCAGCUGCCGUAAAUCAGUAUAAAUGCAUUCAUUUCAGUGGUGCUGUCGUGCCUGCUGAUGGUCAGGUCCUGUGAUGUUGCUCAUUACACAGGUUUUGGGUAAGGAGCCAAGAGAUGAAGGAAGGCACGGCUACAUAAUUUUAAAUAAAUAAGUAAUAAGAUUGUAUAGCUUCUAUGCUCUUGCUCUUUCCAGUCUUAGAAAAGGUUCAGGUUGCCACUGAGUAAGGAGGUGAAUCCACUCUGUACAAUGGAGGUGACUGGAAUAUCUAGUGGAGAUCAGAUUAUCUACACUUCACAUUUUAAUUGGCAUUGAGUGGGGAAAAGAGUCAGUUUUCUCUAUUGCUGAAUGUGAAGAUGAUUGAGAUGGCUUCAUUUUCUUUCCAGCUGUGAAGCAGGCAGGUAAAUGUAUUGAUGUGAGUAUGUAUGCAGUACAGUUUAUAGCGGGGAAGCCAUAAGAGAAAUCAGAUAGUCUGGAAAAUAUACAAUCUUCUUUCACAACAAAGCUCUCACAGUAAAGAGUAAAGUUAAGGUGAGUCUGUCUUUUUUUUUUUUCAUCAUAGUAUAAAAGCCUUUGUUUAAAGCUCUCUGGGUCUGAUUUUCAGAGCCGCUGAGCACCCUGCUCUGAUUUCUUUUAACUGGAGAUGUCGGUGUUCAGCAUUUCUGGCAGCCGGGGCCCCUCUACCAAUGCCUGCAGAGAGUAGCUGGAGAAAGUGUGAGAAACAUUAUUGUAAUGAGGGGCUAAUUCUGCCUCUUCUUCCUGCCUCUCAGUGCAGAUGAAAGAGUGCCUGCGAGUCAUGUUAUGUGCAUGGAGAAAGGGAAUUCUGAUUUACUGGCUCUGGCUCCCCAGGGGCAGGGAUGCUCUCCUAGCACAACUCACAGUUUUCAUGUGUUGCAGGUUUUCCUUAGACAAAUAGUAGUGAGGAACUCACUUUGAUUUCUCUCUCCUCCCCCCUGAGAUUGCUAGCAUUUGAGAUUUCCAGAUUAUAUUUGGAAUGAAUGGAAGAGAGAGUGUAAAAUCAAAGGUUGGCACUAGAGUCCUGAUGAGUUGUGCUAUGCCUUAGGGGUGUGUUCAUGGAAACACUGGGCCUGAGCCUUCUUGUACUGGUUUUACAACAAAGGGGAUUUCCAGGGAUUUCAGCAGAGUGAUCCCCAUGUUCGUCAGAAGGAUGUGAAUAAGACGACUUUCUCUACUCCCACGUGUGUGUAUAGACAUACCAACCUAUACAUUUUUACUCUCUUACAAAAGUUUUCUUGGACCUAUGACUACGCUUUUUGAGGGCAAUUUCAGAUGAAUUUCUAACAGUUCCCUUUCCCAUGGGAAUGCCAGUGGUUAGAGGCCCUGUAGGAUACCCCUGGCUGAAUUUCCCUAAGAUCAUGCUAUGUCAUGGGAAGAGAUUGGGCUGAAUGGUGGAGUAAAGGGAGUUGUGUUGGCAGAAAGUCAAACUGGGGAUUUUUUGGUAGGAUUUCAGGAGCAAGCAGCUGCCUCUCAGCUGGACCUCUCCUCCCCAUUGCUGGGAUUACAAUAGCAGCAAGGCAAGUGAAAAGGACCUUCAGGGAGGCAGGAGACUGCCUGGCUGAGGGACUUUGCUGCAGGGUUUCUGCUGGAGCCCCGGACGCCAGCGUGCCUCCGUGGGAGCGUGCAGGCAGGGGGCUUGCCUGCCAGGUUGCAAAGGUGGGACACCUCUCUCUGGGCUGCCUUUUCUGCUCCCACCAGUGGACUGCAACGACAUGGGCCGCUGGAAAUCUGCCACCGUGGAGGGUCUCGCAUAGAGGAGUUGUCCUGCUGGAUCUGGCUGAUGCUUCUUGUAGUCCGUUAGCCUUGCCACUACCAGCAUCCUUCAAAGGUAACACCACAGCACUGUACAAGUAGCUGCUCCUGGGGAAAGCUUCCUCCCUCACUCAAAAAAAAAAAAAAGGAGAUUGAUUUAAAUGCUGAAGUGCAAAGGAUUGUAUUCCUUGCAAAGCUCUUAAAAUUAAUAUCUGCUGUUAAAGCCCUGGAUCUCUUAAUGUACAGCAUCCAAUCUUUGUCCCAUUAGGUCUUGUGACCAAGAGCUCACUGAAGGGAUUGUGUACAUUUCUUGUUUGAAAUCUCCUGUGAGAAAAAUUAAGUUAUUGGACUCCUGGCCACCCUGAAAACGAUGGCAGCUGUCCCCUGCCUCUCUGUCUCCCCUCACAGACUUUAGCAUUGCGUGCUGGCUGCCCCGCUGCCGAGAUGGUGAUGAUGGAGAGGAGUGAAAUGAAAGAAGUUUAUAAAAAGAGAGUGUUAUCUUCCCAGGCAUCUAAAUGCUUCCAGAGAUUUGGGGUUUGAACACCUAAGUCCCCUUGAAACCAAAGCAAGCCAGGCAUCAACUCCCCUACAUUCCUUCCAAAUUCCAGCCAAAAUUGUUGUCAAACUUGGAGCACGAAGUUCUAAUGUAAGAGAUUAUAAACCCGAUUUCCGCUCUGCUUUAGCAGGCAGCUUAGCACCAGGGAAAAAAAAACAACCCAUAGUGUUGACUGUAUAAACAUCUUGUUCAAAGGGUAACACUUUCCUGAUUAAUAGCCUUUCAGUAUUAAAAACAAUCAGUCUAGAUUGUGAUUAAUUUUCCCUUCUACUACUAGUAACCAAAUAUAUGUGUGUGUAUAUACAUACAUACAUAUAUAUAUACACACUUGUGUAAACACACAGGGACAUUCUCACUGGGGUAAGCAUUUUUAGUAUGUCUGUUUUAAAGGAAAAUACAACACGCAGGAGGUGAGAGCCGUUUUUUACAACUCGGGCAAACAGGAAGGGUUUUAGCUCUUGUAACCCUUUGUUGCAAGAACCAGCAGCCCCAGGGAUGCGCAGUGAGCAUUGCUGUCCUGGGGAAAGGCACGGAACACUCACCUGGGCAGGGAGGAGACCAAGAAAGAGGCAGAAGAUGCUUUGCUUUUCGUCUGGGGAAUGAAGGCUGCUUAGUUGUUGGGCAUCCUGGCUGCAUUUCUGUUUCAUCUGUAUUUUACUUGUGGGACUGACAGGGUUAAUGACAAUAAAAAGUUUUCAUUUAAAAGUUG
This is a long non-coding RNA of Aquila chrysaetos chrysaetos, 3916 nucleotides long. RefSeq lists it as uncharacterized. Lineage: Eukaryota; Metazoa; Chordata; Aves; Accipitriformes; Accipitridae. The transcript has 5 exons. The record is from RefSeq and is a predicted model, not a curated record.